This 238-nucleotide ribosomal RNA is filed under the name uncultured Septoglomus. RNAcentral's name for it is "partial small subunit ribosomal RNA". The stretch from base 47 to 238 matches the Rfam family "Eukaryotic small subunit ribosomal RNA", at positions 693 to 886 of the family's 1831-position model. Lineage: Eukaryota; Fungi; Glomeromycota; Glomeromycetes; Glomerales; Glomeraceae. The record is from RNAcentral.
GGAUCGAUGGGUCGGUCAUGCCCUCGGUAUGUACUGAUCCCAUUGGUCCUCACCUUCUAAGGAACCAUGAUGUCAUUCGGUUGAUGUUGUGGGGAAUUAGGACUGUUACCUUGAAAAAAUUAGAGUGUUUAAAGCAGGCCAACGCUUGAAUACAUUAGCAUGGAAUAAUGAAAUAGGACAUCCGAUUCUAUUUUGUUGGUUUCUAGGAUCGAUGUAAUGAUUAAUAGGGAUAGUUGGG